Molecule: transfer RNA, 71 nt
Filed under: Strombidium sp.
Lineage: Eukaryota; Ciliophora; Spirotrichea; Strombidiidae
Description: tRNA-Met
Rfam family: tRNA
About the family: Transfer RNA (tRNA) molecules are approximately 80 nucleotides in length.
Source: RNAcentral
GUUAAUGUAGCUCAAGGUAGAGCAAUAGCUUCAUACGUUAUGGGUUAUGGGUUCAAGUCCCAUCAUUAACU